RNAcentral lists this ribosomal RNA (450 nucleotides) under uncultured bacterium. RNAcentral describes it as "bacterial SSU rRNA". It matches the Rfam family "Bacterial small subunit ribosomal RNA", at positions 354 to 796 of the family's 1533-position model. The record is from RNAcentral.
GUGAGGAAUAUUGCGCAAUGGGCGAAAGCCUGACGCAGCGACACCGCGUGGAGGAUGAAGGUCUUAGGAUUGUAAACUUCUGUUAAGUGGGAAGAAAGGUUCAUAAGUAAUAUAUAUGAAAGAUGACGGUACCACUAGAGAAAGCACCGGCUAACCUCGUGCCAGCAGCCGCGGUAAUACGAGGGGUGCAAGCGUUAUUCGGAAUUAUUGGGCGUAAAGGGUGCGUAGGCGGCAUUUCAAGUCUGUUGUUAAAUUUCCCGGCCUAACCGGGAAUCAGCGGCAGAUACUGAUUUGCUAGAGGAUGGAAGAGAGAAGUGGAAUUCUUGGAGUAGCGGUAAAAUGCGUAGAUCUCAAGAGGAACACCGAUGGCGAAGGCAGCUUCUUGGUCCAUUUCUGACGCUAAGGCACGAAAGCGUGGGGAGCAAACAGGAUUAGAUACCCGGGUAGUCC